GAUGAACGCUGGCGGCGUGCCUAACACAUGCAAGUCGAGCGAACAGACGAGGAGCUUGCUCCUUUGACGUUAGCGGCGGACGGGUGAGUAACACGUGGAUCACCUACCUAUAUGUCUGGGAUAACUUCGGGAAACCGGAGCUAAUACCGGAUAAUAUAUUGAACCGCAUGGUUCAAUAGUGAAUGACGGCUUUGCUGUCUCUUAUAGAUGGUUCCGCGCCGCAUUAGCUAGUUGGUAAGGUAACGGCUUACCAAGGCGACGAUGCGUAGCCGACCUGAGAGGGUGAUCGGCCACACUGGAACUGAGACACGGUCCAGACUCCUACGGGAGGCAGCAGUAGGGAAUCUUCCGCAAUGGGCGAAAGCCUGACGGAGCAACGCCGCGUGAGUGAUGAAGGUCUUCGGAUCGUAAAACUCUGUUAUUAGGGAAGAACAAAUGUGUAAGUAACUAUGCACGUCUUGACGGUACCUAAUCAGAAAGCCACGGCUAACUACGUG
This 497-nucleotide ribosomal RNA is filed under the name uncultured bacterium. Its description in RNAcentral is "partial 16S ribosomal RNA". It matches the Rfam family "Bacterial small subunit ribosomal RNA", at positions 28 to 507 of the family's 1533-position model. The record is from RNAcentral.